CUACGGGCUGCUGCAGUGGGGAAUAUUGCACAAUGGGCGCAAGCCUGAUGCAGCCAUGCCGCGUGUAUGAAGAAGGCCUUCGGGUUGUAAAGUACUUUCAGUCGUGAGGAAGGUGGUGCAGUGAAUAGCUGCAUUAUUUGACGUUAGCGACAGAAGAAGCACCGGCUAACUCCGUACCAGCAGCCGCGGUAAUACGGAGGGUGCGAGCGUUAAUCGGAAUUACUGGGCGUAAAGCGCAUGCAGGUGGUUUGUUAAGUCAGAUGUGAAAGCCCGAGGCUCAACCUCGGAAGGUCAUUUGAAACUGGCAGGCUAGAGUACUGUAGAGGGGGGUAGAAUUUCAGGUGUAGCGGUGAAAUGCGUAGAGAUCUGAAGGAAUACCGGUGGCGAAGGCGGCCCCCUGGACAGAUACUGACACUCAGAUGCGAAAGCGUGGGGAGCAAACAGGAUUAGAUACCCCCGUAGUC
Molecule: ribosomal RNA, 464 nt
Filed under: uncultured bacterium
Lineage: Bacteria
Description: partial 16S ribosomal RNA
Rfam family: Bacterial small subunit ribosomal RNA
Source: RNAcentral